This 497-nucleotide ribosomal RNA is filed under the name uncultured bacterium. RNAcentral's name for it is "partial 16S ribosomal RNA". It matches the Rfam family "Bacterial small subunit ribosomal RNA", at positions 28 to 507 of the family's 1533-position model. The record is from RNAcentral.
GAUGAACGCUGGCGGCGUGCCUAAUACAUGCAAGUCGAGCGAACGGACGAGAAGCUUGCUUCUCUGAUGUUAGCGGCGGACGGGUGAGUAACACGUGGAUAACCUACCUAUAAGACUGGGAUAACUUCGGGAAACCGGAGCUCAUACCGGAUAAUAUUUUGAACCGCAUGGUUCAAAAGUGAAAGACGGUCUUGCUGUCACUUAUAGAUGGAUCCGCGCUGCAUUAGCUAGUUGGUAAGGUAACGGCUUACCAAGGCAACGAUGCAUAGCCGACCUGAGAGGGUGAUCGGCCACACUGGAACUGAGACACGGUCCAGACUCCUACGGGAGGCAGCAGUAGGGAAUCUUCCGCAAUGGGCGAAAGCCUGACGGAGCAACGCCGCGUGAGUGAGGAAGGUCUUCGGAUCGUAAAACUCUGUUAUUAGGGAAGAACAUAUGUGUAAGUAACUGUGCACAUCUUGACGGUACCUAAUCAGAAAGCCACGGCUAACUACGUG